RNAcentral lists this ribosomal RNA (1286 nucleotides) under Cercomonas sp. HFCC556. RNAcentral's name for it is "eukaryotic LSU rRNA". It matches the Rfam family "Eukaryotic large subunit ribosomal RNA", at positions 118 to 1236 of the family's 3401-position model. Lineage: Eukaryota; Cercozoa; Cercomonadida; Cercomonadidae. The record is from RNAcentral.
AAAUCGGUGCUCCACACGGGGCUUCGAAUUGUAGUCUAUAGACGCAGCGUCAGUAGUGACCCAGGUAUAAAUCUUUUGAAACAAGGUAUCAUAGAGGGUGAGAAUCCCGUCUACGACUUGGAGUUCACUGCGUACGACCUGUGUUCAAAGAGUCGAGUUGCUUGGGAUUGCAGCUCUAAUUGGGUGGUAAAUUUCAUCUAAAGCUAAAUAACGAUCAGAGACCGAUAGCGAACAAGUACCGUGAGGGAAAGAUGAAAAGAACUUUGAAAAGAGAGUUAAAAAGUACUUGAAAUUGUUAAGAAGGAAGCGCUGGAAACCAGUCGUGCCGGUUGGCGUAUCAGCCCAUCCGUGGAUUUGAUGCAGUAAGCCGAGAGCCUUAAACCUCGGUCUAUGCGGAGAGUACAUGGUAGGGACGCGCGUCAGCUGGUGAGUCAGAAUCGUUUUGUUUCGUGUGAGAAAGCUUGCGGGAAGGUAGGUUAGCGGGGGCAACUCCAAUGACUGUUAUAGCCUGCGAGUCCUAGCAUGGAACAGAUCGAGGAUUUCAACACGCACCACUAGGUUCGAUUCCCUGACCCUGAGCUGUCAGCUGCGUUGGAUAGUAAAACUAUGCUCGUAGCGAAACGGUUUACUGGAAAGGAUGAAUCAGAUGCAGUGUUCGGGAUUCUGACGAAAUGGUUUUCAUCGACCCGUCUUGAAACACGGACCAAGGAGUCUAACAUAUAUGCGAGUAUUUGGGUGGAAAACCCUUAUGCGCAAUGAAAGUGAAGGCGCCUAGCGCUGAGGUAGGAACCUGCAUCUUCGGGUGUAGGGGCACUAUCGACCGAUCGUCACUUGUGAUAGAUUUGAGUAUGAGCAUAUCUGUUGGGACCCGAAAGAUGGUGAUCUAUGCCUGAACAGGGCGAAGCCAGGGGAAACUCUGGUGGAGGCUCGUAGCGAUACUGACGUGCAAAUCGUUCGUCUGAUUUGGGUAUAGGGGCGAAAGACUAAUCGAACCAUCUAGUAGCUGGUUCCCUCCGAAGUUUCCCUUAGGAUAGCUGGAACUUAUACAGUUUUAUCAGGUAAAGCUAAUGAUUAGAGGUCCUAGAGUUGAAACAACUUUAACCUAUUCUCAAACUUUAAAUAGGUAAGAAGCCUGUGGUUACUUAACUGAACCCGGGCCUCGAAUGGAAGUUCUUAGUGGGCCAUUUUUGGUAAGCAGAACUGGCGAUGCGGGAUGAACCGGACGCUGACUUAAAGUGCCGAACUAUUCGCUCAUCAGAUCCCUCAAAAGGUGUUGGUUCAUUUAG